GACGAACGCUGGCGGCGUGCUUAACACAUGCAAGUCGAACGGUAAGGCCCUUCGGGGUACACGAGUGGCGAACGGGUGAGUAACACGUGGGUGAUCUGCCCUGCACUUCGGGAUAAGCCUGGGAAACUGGGUCUAAUACCGGAUAGGACCACUGCCUGCAUGGGUGGUGGUGGAAAGCUUUUGCGGUGUGGGAUGGGCCCGCGGCCUAUAGGCUUGGUGGUGGGGUGAUGGCCUCCCAAGGGGACGACGGGUAGCCGGCCUGGGAGGGUGACCAGCCAGACUGGGACUGGGAUACGGCCCAGAGUCGUACGGGAGGCAGCAGUGGGGAAUAUUGCAGAAGGGGCGCAAGCCUGAUGCAGCGACGCCGCGUGAGGGAUGACGGCCUUCGGGUUGUAAACCGCUUUCAGCACCGACGAAGCGCAAGUGACGGUAGGUGCAGAAGAAGGACCGGCCAACUACGUGCCAGCCGCCGCGGUAA
This 478-nucleotide ribosomal RNA is filed under the name uncultured bacterium. RNAcentral's name for it is "partial 16S ribosomal RNA". It matches the Rfam family "Bacterial small subunit ribosomal RNA", at positions 28 to 523 of the family's 1533-position model. The record is from RNAcentral.